UAACUAUUAUACUCAGAAUCACACAUCAGCUACUGGUAAACCAGAAUAUGAUACUACACUAGCAGAUGAAGGCCAAGGUUGCCCAGAACACACUUUUAACUCAAUGCUGAUGAUGAUAAAACAGCUCCAUUUCCAGAGAAAGUUCUGCUCCUCCUGUGCUUUCCUGUUGGGUCCCAUCCCUGCUCAGGAUUUGGAAUCAUGCAGAAAUGACAGCACUGCUUAUGCCCCUUUCCAGCUUCCUUUUUGGGAAUGAGCAACAUUUGAAUACUUCUGUUUGAUGUGAAAAGUUGAGUGGAGAGAAAUGACCCAGCAAUCCUGACACCCUCAAAACGAAUCCCCAGUUUUGUACAGCAUCCUGGGAAGAUGCCUAAGUACCAAGCCCAGAAACAACAGGGGGCGCUGUAGAGACAAAGGGCCAUCAGGCAUCCAUCCAGACUGCCCGAGUCACGAAGGCCUUUCACUGUCACACUGGGGCCCCUGGAAGCCAGGCCCUGCCUACUCAAGCCAGCAGUGUGUGUGUCACCGGGGCAGUGCUCUAACAUAACAAUUUGUGAGAGAUCAGUAUGUCCAGCGAGCUGUGGUGCCACAGUGUGGGUGCAAGCCAAGCCUGACCUCUUAUUAACCUCUUCUCAACAGGUCUAGAGAAAACUGAGCCCUCCUCCAGAUCUCAGAGAACUGGAGUCUCAUCUCAGACAAGCAGCAGACAUCAGUGCUCUCAGUUCAGGGAUUAAAUUUAGAAACCCAUUAUUUCUAUUUUCUUACUCGUUCCUCACAUUCGACUCUCUGAAAAGGCAAAAUGUUUAUGAACUUGUUCUUACAGUAACAUCUUCUGGCUCUUACGUUUCCCACAAAAUCCUAUCUUGAAUAACACCAUAUGGUUGGGUUCUCUUUUACAAACUCACCCCACUAACGAUGGUUUGCAGUAAAGCAGAGAAGCAUGGAGGCAGCCCUACAACACUCAAAGAUGUGUACAUCUGCCCCCACCUCAUGUCCACUUGCCUAGGUUUGACCCACAGCACAUCUCCGUCUAACACCUGUCAGUCUUCGUGUGUCUGGUCCUGCCCAGAGUUCAGGAUUUUGGGGCCCUGGCAUGAACCCAUCACACUAAUGUGAUUUUUAUUUUUAUAAAGAGAAGCCAUGUGUUGUGGAUAUUUGUGGGGACCCCCCCAGAGACCACCAAGUUUACAUUCUCCACUGACUUAUGACUAUAAAGCAAAGUGACCCAAAAAAAAAAAAAACCCCUCCAAUUAUUGCAACGCAAACCCCACUUAAUGUAAGUCCCUCUGGCAAACUCCCAGCUAUUUCUCCAACUCUUCCCUCUUCCUCUGAAACCUGCUGGUCUGGUCAGACACAGCUGCCUCUUCCCCCUGGUCUGGGCCAGUGGUCACCACACCCUCCCAACUUCAGAGGCAGAGCACCAUGCUUUCUAACUUCCCAAAGCACUGCUGUGAUGUUAACAAGGCAGUGCAGGUUCCCAGAAGCAUAACUUCUUCCUGAAAGGUAACUCUGUUCUCCCUGAGCUAAGAUGCAUAGACUCUAUCUCAUGCACGAUGCCUAUCCCAGCUGGUCUUUGCCUGUCUCCAGCCUGUCCCAGGCGGCAGAGCCCAACUCACUGCCUUCAGUAGGAAGCUCCAAGCAUCUUCACACCCAUAACCUCCCCAACACUCUCUUCUCUCCUGACACCGAAUUAAAGAAGUCCUUCCACACUCUCACCUAACACCAGUGUCUUUCCUCCUCUAGACUUAAUCCUCAGGUUGACUAUUUCUUCAGGAGGAAGCCUCUAAGUGUACCCUGGAAAAGAAAGUCAGGAUAGUCAUAAGAGGUAUAUUUGGCAGCCUUUUACUGGGCUUCCCUGGUGGCUCAGAUGGUAAAGAAUCUGCCCCCAUUGCAGGAGACCCAGAUUCAACUCCUGGGUCAGAAAGAUCCCCCAGAGAAGGGAAUGGCAACCCACUCUAGUACUCUUGCCUGGAGAAUACCAUGGACAGAGUAGCCUGGCAGGCUACAGCCCAUGGGGUCAGAAAGAGCUGGACACGACUGCGACUAAGCACACACGUUACUAGAUGAAAGGACAGCAUGAGAUGCACCAAGGGUCCCAUGCGCCCUGUCCAAGCCUGAUCCCAGUCCUCUUCCCCACUUUGCUUCACCAGAAGGAGAGGCAUUGAUGCCUGUGUCCCUGCCCCUGUUCUGGCUGGAGCUGUCCUUCCUCUGUGAGCAGAUGUUAGAGUGAGAAGACUGUGUUUUCUAAGAACAGGCAUGAGCAGGCCACAUCAAGAGGUUUAAGAGCAAGGUAAAAUGAAAUAAAAUAGGUCAGAGGUUCAGUUCCAAAAACAAACUGCAGCAUUCAUCCAGAAAGGUUCAAACUGCCUUCAUCUUCACAAAUGGUAGAAUUUCUAGCUUCUAAAACAAGUUUAGUGACUGUCAGACUUCCUGCUGCCUUCAGAUGACACUCUCAAUGCUGUCACAUAGAGAUCCCAACAUGGGCGUUUCGAGGUUCUUUAAUCCAAAUGGGUUGCUGGAAAUGCAGCU
Long non-coding RNA from Bos taurus (domestic cattle), 2526 nucleotides. NCBI's taxonomy places the organism in Eukaryota, Metazoa, Chordata, Mammalia, Artiodactyla, Bovidae. The record is from Ensembl.